Molecule: ribosomal RNA, 253 nt
Filed under: uncultured bacterium
Lineage: Bacteria
Description: partial 16S ribosomal RNA
Rfam family: Bacterial small subunit ribosomal RNA
Source: RNAcentral
UACGUAGGGAGCAAGCGUUGUCCGGAAUCAUUGGGCGUAAAGCGCGCGUAGGCGGCCUCAUAAGUCCGUUGUGAAAGUCAAAGGCUCAACCUUUGAAAGCCGAUGGAUACUGUGAGGCUAGAGUCCAGAAGAGGCGAGUGGAAUUCCUGGUGUAGCGGUGGAAUGCGCAGAUAUCAGGAGGAACACCAAUAGCGAAGGCAGCUCGCUGGGACGGUACUGACGCUAAGGCGCGAAAGCGUGGGGAGCGAACAGG